UGGGGUGUAGCCAAGUGGUAAGGCAUUGGACUUUGACUUCAACAUGCAAAGGUUCGAAUCCUUUCUCCCCAG
Molecule: transfer RNA, 72 nt
Filed under: Auxenochlorella protothecoides
Lineage: Eukaryota; Viridiplantae; Chlorophyta; Trebouxiophyceae; Chlorellales; Chlorellaceae
Rfam family: tRNA
About the family: Transfer RNA (tRNA) molecules are approximately 80 nucleotides in length.
Source: Rfam by way of RNAcentral